CAAGUUAGUGGCGGACGGGUGAGUAACACGUGAGUAAUCUACCUAUUUGAGGGGGAUAACGUUUGGAAACGAACGAUAAUACCGCAUAACACAAUUUUAUCGCAUGGUAAGAUUGUCAAAGGAGCAAUCCGCAAAUAGAUGAGCUCGCGCCUGAUUAGCUAGUUGGAGGGGUAAUGGCCCACCAAGGCAACGAUCAGUAGCCGGACUGAGAGGUUGAACGGCCACAUUGGGACUGAGACACGGCCCAAACUCCUACGGGAGGCAGCAGUGGGGAAUAUUGCACAAUGGAGGAAACUCUGAUGCAGCGACGCCGCGUGAGGGAAGAAGGUUUUCGGAUUGUAAACCUCUGUCUUCGAGGACGAUAAUGACGGUACUCGAAGAGGAAGCACCGGCUAACUACGUGCCAGCAGCCGCGGUAAUACGUAGGGUGCAAGCGUUGUCCGGAAUUACUGGGUGUAAAGGGAGCGUAGGCGGGAAGGCAAGUUGGAUGUAUAAACUAUCGGCUCAACCGGUAGAGGCAUUCAAAACUGCUUUUCUUGAGUGA
RNAcentral lists this ribosomal RNA (544 nucleotides) under uncultured bacterium. Its description in RNAcentral is "bacterial SSU rRNA". It matches the Rfam family "Bacterial small subunit ribosomal RNA", at positions 88 to 649 of the family's 1533-position model. The record is from RNAcentral.